Molecule: long non-coding RNA, 428 nt
Filed under: Anas platyrhynchos platyrhynchos (common mallard)
Lineage: Eukaryota; Metazoa; Chordata; Aves; Anseriformes; Anatidae
Description: lncRNA (ENSAPLG00000022140.1)
Source: RNAcentral
AUGUUAGCCAAGUACCAGAAAUUUCAAACUCCAUUUAAGCUAAUUAAGCAGUCAGCAGACCGCCAACAUAUAACUGGUUGGAGAAGGAAGGGCACAGUGCAAAAUGCAACACACCUGGUGCAGAUACCCCGAGCUGAAAGCCGUGGAGAAUUUGGUGCUUCAGAUCCUGCCCCUCUGCUCUCCCACAAGCUGCCAGCAACCAGGGAAGGCUCUGUCCAGGCCUUAGAAAGGAGAAAUCUUGGAAGACGCACUGGUUUUAUAUUGAUUUUACUUCUGAGGUGUUGCUGGCUGUUGCCCAGCUGGUGUGGUGUAUGCUGCCCAGCCCCACUGCCCCCCCUUGCCACAUUAUCACCAUGUGCAUUGUGAUGUCCUCAGUGAGGGUGAAAUGAACUCUCAGUGGCUUAAAGCAAGGUAGGUUAAUUUAAAAA